UACGGGGGGAGCAAGCGUUGUUCGGAUUUACUGGGCGUAAAGGGCGCGUAGGCGGCCACCGCAAGUCGGUUGUGAAAUCUCUGGGCUUAACCCAGAAAGGUCAACCGAUACUGCGGGGCUAGAGUGCAGAAGGGGCAACUGGAAUUCUCGGUGUAGCGGUGAAAUGCGUAGAUAUCGAGAGGAACACCUGAGGUGAAGACGGGUUGCUGGGCCGACACUGACGCUGACAGCGCGAAAGCCAGGGGAGCAAACGGG
This 255-nucleotide ribosomal RNA is filed under the name uncultured bacterium. Its description in RNAcentral is "partial 16S ribosomal RNA". It matches the Rfam family "Bacterial small subunit ribosomal RNA", at positions 524 to 776 of the family's 1533-position model. The record is from RNAcentral.